RNAcentral lists this unclassified non-coding RNA (243 nucleotides) under Dothideomycetes sp. Its description in RNAcentral is "partial contains 5.8S ribosomal RNA, internal transcribed spacer 2, and large subunit ribosomal RNA". Lineage: Eukaryota; Fungi; Ascomycota; Dothideomycetes. The record is from RNAcentral.
CGCACAUUGCGCCCCUUGGUAUUCCAUGGGGCAUGCCUGUUCGAGCGUCAUCUACACCCUCAAGCUCUGCUUGGUGUUGGGCGUCUGUCCCGCCUUUGUGCGUGGACUCGCCCCAAAUUCAUUGGCAGCGGUCUUUGCCUCCUCUCGCGCAGCACAUUGCGUUUCUUGAGGUGCGAAUCGCGUCCACGAAGCAUUAUUACCGUCUUUGACCUCGGAUCAGGUAGGGAUACCCGCUGAACUUAA